This 253-nucleotide ribosomal RNA is filed under the name uncultured bacterium. RNAcentral's name for it is "partial 16S ribosomal RNA". It matches the Rfam family "Bacterial small subunit ribosomal RNA", at positions 524 to 776 of the family's 1533-position model. The record is from RNAcentral.
UACAGAGGUCCCAAGCGUUUUUCGGAUUCACUGGGCGUAAAGGGUGCGUAGGCGGUCGGGUAAGUCUGACGUGAAAUCGUCGAGCCUAACUCGGAAACUGCGUCGGAUACUAUUCGGCUAGAGGAAUGGAGGGGAGACUGGAAUACUUGGUGUAGCAGUGAAAUGCGUAGAUAUCAAGUGGAACACCAGUGGCGAAGGCGAGUCUCUGGACAUUUCCUGACGCUGUAGCACGAAAGCCAGGGGAGCAAACGGG